AGCAGUAGCCGCGGUAAUACGAAGGGUGCAAGCGUUAAUCGGAAUUACUGGGCGUAAAGCGCACGCAGGCGGUUUGUUAAGUCAGAUGUGAAAUCCCCGAGCUUAACUUGGGAACUGCAUUUGAAACUGGCAAGCUAGAGUCUUGUAGAGGGGGGUAGAAUUCCAGGUGUAGCGGUGAAAUGCGUAGAGAUCUGGAGGAAUACCGGUGGCGAAGGCGGCCCCCUGGACAAAGACUGACGCUCAGGUGCGAAAGCGUGGGGAGCAAACAGGUUUAGAUACCCGGGUAGUCCCUGUCUCUUAUAC
This 303-nucleotide ribosomal RNA is filed under the name uncultured bacterium. RNAcentral describes it as "partial 16S ribosomal RNA". It matches the Rfam family "Bacterial small subunit ribosomal RNA", at positions 507 to 807 of the family's 1533-position model. The record is from RNAcentral.